GAGCGCUUAGCAAUGGCAUCGGCAGACGGUAUGAGUAACACGUGGGGAUCUACCCAAUGGUACGGAAUAACCCAGGGAAACUUGGACUAAUACCGUAUGUGCCCUUCGGGGGAAAGAUUUAUCGCCAUUGGAUGAACCCGCGUCGGAUUAGCUAGUUGGUGAGGUAAAGGCUCACCAAGGCGACGAUCCGUAGCUGGUCUGAGAGGAUGAUCAGCCACACUGGGACUGAGACACGGCCCAGACUCCUACGGGAGGCAGCAGUGGGGAAUAUUGGACAAUGGGCGCAAGCCUGAUCCAGCCAUGCCGCGUGUGUGAUGAAGGCCUUAGGGUUGUAAAGCACUUUCGCCGGUGAAGAUAAUGACGGUAACCGGAGAAGAAGCCCCGGCUAACUUCGUGCCAGCAGCCGCGGUAAUACGAAGGGGGCAAGCGUUGCUCGGAAUCACUGGGCGUAAAGCGCACGUAGGCGGGUUGUUAAGUCAGAGGUGAAAUCCUGGAGCUCAACUCCAGAACUGCCUUUGAUACUGGCGACCUUGAGUUCGAGAGAGGUUGGUGGAACUGCGAGUGUAGAGGUGAAAUUCGUAGAUAUUCGCAAGAACACCAGUGGCGAAAGCGGCCAACUGGCUCGAUACUGACGCUGAAGUGCGAAAGCCUGGGGAGCAAACAGGAUUAGAUACCCUGG
Molecule: ribosomal RNA, 679 nt
Filed under: Xanthobacter sp. AS2
Lineage: Bacteria; Pseudomonadati; Pseudomonadota; Alphaproteobacteria; Hyphomicrobiales; Xanthobacteraceae
Description: bacterial SSU rRNA
Rfam family: Bacterial small subunit ribosomal RNA
Source: RNAcentral